ACUCCUACGGGAGGCAGCAGUGGGGAAUCUUGCGCAAUGGGCGAAAGCCUGACGCAGCGACGCCGCGUGCGGGAGGACGCCUUUCGGGGUGUAAACCGCUGUCAGAGGGGAAGAACUGGGAGGGGAGGAAAUGCCCUUCUCUUGACGGUACCCUCAGAGGAAGCACCGGCUAACUCUGUGCCAGCAGCCGCGGUAAUACAGAGGGUGCGAGCGUUGUUCGGAAUUACUGGGCGUAAAGCGCGCGCAGGCGGCCUGUUAAGUCAGAUGUGAAAGCCCGGGGCUUAACCUCGGAAUUGCAUUUGAAACUGGCAGGCUAGAGUCUUGUAGAGGGGGUAGAAUUUCAGGUGUAGCGGUGAAAUGCGUAGAGAUCUGAAGGAAUACCAGUGGCGAAGGCGGCCCCCUGGACAAAGACUGACGCUCAGAUGCGAAAGCGUGGGGAGCAAACAGGAUUAGAUACCCUGGUAGGAUAGCG
Molecule: ribosomal RNA, 472 nt
Filed under: uncultured bacterium
Lineage: Bacteria
Description: bacterial SSU rRNA
Rfam family: Bacterial small subunit ribosomal RNA
Source: RNAcentral